GUGCUUGCAUCAGCAGCACACACACUAAGAUUGGAAGGAUACAGUGAUCAGCAUGGCCCCUGGGCAAGGAUGACAUGCAAACUCAUAGUGUCCCACAUUUUUUU
This is a small nuclear RNA of Molossus molossus (Pallas's mastiff bat), 104 nucleotides long. The record is from RefSeq and is a predicted model, not a curated record. Lineage: Eukaryota; Metazoa; Chordata; Mammalia; Chiroptera; Molossidae.